CCUCACCCGCAACAUGGCAGAGACACGGGCGCCUCGUAUCAUGUGGAUAUCUAUGCGACAAAAGGGGCAGACCGACACCAGAAAUGUCUGCACAGUACACCUACCUGCACGACUCCCUCUUCCCAGCCACGGAUCACUUCCUGUUUUCCUAUUUUAAACCUGAAGGGCUUGUCCCUGUCACGGGAGGAGUCAAACUUGCGUCCAUCCGUCAGAGAGCCUGAGGAGGAGGAAAUGAGAGGCAGAGAGGAUUUAUUUUGACAAUCUGUAACAGAGAUGGUGGCAUGUCUUGUUACGUUUCAACGUAAUCAUUUUAGAACUGGACUGGGGGUGCAAUUCCUGUACUAAAACCCAAACUAACUUGAGUUCCAGCAGGCAGACGAACACUUAAGGUGAAAGACGUACAUCCUGUGGCUCUUGUCGGUCUACUUCCAUGUCUACUGUUAUGCAACACAACAAGGGACAAAACCGACAGUUAAUGAAGCAUUAACAAUAUAUCUUCUGAGCUAGUGUAAAACUAUAUCCCUGAAUGCAAAUGAAGGGAUUCCACCGAUAGCAGAAAUAGCCCCUGCAGCUGUCUCUGGGGGUGGGCAGCAAAGUGACAGGAAAAUGUGGCCAUAACUGGGCGUCUGCACUCGGCAAUCCAUCCCGAGGAGGCGUUCAUUGUGUACUGUUGUUGUUACCACCAAUCAGGCCAGGAGGGGGCUAAUCUCUGGCGUGCACUGCUGUGGGGCACAUCAGGGGGCAAGAUAUAGAUAGUAAUCCCAGACGUGGCGGGGUUGGGUGGCCAGAUUAUUAUUUUUUUUCUCUCUCUCCCUCUCUCUGCGUUGGCCAAUAUAAUGAUCUAUUAAGGAUGGAAUUUUUAAUGCAAAAACUUUUUGAGUUGUAAUUUCUUUGAUGUCGAACGUUAUCGUUGUUGACAGUCUCAAAAAUAUCCCGUCAGGGAGCAGAUUUAUGCAAAUAGGAGACUGACUUAUCAUGAGGGCAGAGGAGUGUAAUCAUUGAUGCCAAUGGAAGCCAGGCUUCCCCAAAAUAUUUGACCAAUAAAAAAAGAAAAAUGGUAUAAAAUAGUUUAAUCUUUCAUCUCUCUGUGUUUUCAUACUUUCCCUUAAAAUUGGCAAAUGGCUGAAUCUCACUGGAGAAAUCAUCAGAGCGAGGGAAACAGCGCCCCUCUGUCUUAAUAUUUGUAGCCCAUGUAUCUGAUGCUGUCUGGACCAAAAGAGUAUGACAUGUUGCCGCCACAGCAUUUGAUUGAUUGAUGCCAGCAAGCAUUUCACCUCCGUUAAUUAAAAAAAAGCUGAGCUCAACUGUCGGUUGUCCUGGCACAUGCAAAAUGUCCCCCAAAAAAGGAGGCCAGUUUGGAUUUGGCUUUACAUCAAUCAAAUCGCAUCCAAAGCAAAACGUUGUCAGAAAAACUUGUCCGUCCCUGGUCUGGUUGUGUCGUUGUCCUGCAGUAGCUAGCCCUUUCCUAAACCAUGGAUGGAGAUUUGGACUCCAUGAUUAUGAUGGUGAUUCUGAUCUAACCAUAAAUUCAUAUAUUGAGCCACGGGCCUGAGAUGAUUGAAAUGCAAUAUGUAGUCUAGUAGUCUCACGUUAACUAGCUAGUUAACUUAGCUGUUUCAUUGUUGCCCAUGCAAGGAAGUUAGGCUAGCAAGCAUUUUAGCUAGGUAGCCUAUGACAACAAAAACUAAAAGUGUACUGUAUGACAAAGCCAUAUAAUGUUUUACCAACAUGAAAGAGAGGAGAAUGACAUUGUCAUUCAACUAGUCUACAAGUAUGGCGAGUCAACUUUUUUUAAACUUGCAUGCACACACACACACACACACACACACACACAGAGCGAAAGAGAGAGAAAGCUGUACCAUGGACAGUCACAUGAUAAAUUAGCAACAUUGAUUGGACUAAAUUGUCUUUGGUAUCUUUCCGUUUGUUUUCACUGUAGCCUAGUUGAUUUGACGAUGUUUUAAUGUUGAAGUGUAAAUGGUGCAGGAAUAAGGGAGGCAGUUGCUCCCGUUGUCUUCGUGCUGACUUGCGGUAACUACGUGGAUCUAAACCCAGCAGUUGCUCCCGUUGUCUUCGUGCUGACUUGCGGUAACUACGUGGAUCUAAACCCAGCAGUUGCUCCCGUUGUCUUCGUGCUGACUUGCUGUAACUACGUGGAUCUAAACCCAGCAGUUGUUUAGUAAACUGUAGAAAACAUUCACUUGAUGGACCAUGCUGUAGGUCAUUUAACAAUUUGUUACAUGCAAUAUUUGUUUUUGUGGACACCGGGACAUGUGUUGCUUUCUGGUAUUGUGAUGAAACAAGUAUAUGUGUAGUCUAAUUUAUUCCACCCCUGUGACUAUUGUCUUUUUUGUUGUCUCGGCCAUAUUGCAUAUCAGAGUGGUGUAUGAACUAAGGGCUAUAGAGAAAAGAACACAAUUAUCACAGGUUGUAAAUAUGGCUUUUUUUACUGGCUUGGCUUCCCCAGUGAUUUAACUCAAGCACCAGCUAUUGCAUGGGGGUACAGUGCACACAUGAAUAACAGGAAAAUAUCAUUUUCUGGCAGGAAAUCAAAAAGUGGAAAAAAAAAAAAAAAAAUACUGUUGCUAUAGCAAACAUAGUAAAACAUGUAGAAUCUUGCCAGUGGUGUAAAUAUGUUGUGUAUGCAUGAAUCCGAGUAUAAUAGAAGUUACAUGAUAAUCCAAUAAGAGUGUUAGGACUACAAUAGCAGCUAUCCUACAACUAGAUAGCUGACAAUUGAAUAGUCUAAAUCGUAUGAGAACAUGGGAGAAAAUUCUAAAAUAUACCAACCCCUGCAACUAUUACAAUAACACACUAACUCAUUAGUAAACAAUUACAACGAAUGGGGGGGGGGGGGG
This is a long non-coding RNA of Oncorhynchus kisutch (coho salmon), 2858 nucleotides long. RefSeq lists it as uncharacterized. The record is from RefSeq and is a predicted model, not a curated record. The transcript has 2 exons. Lineage: Eukaryota; Metazoa; Chordata; Actinopteri; Salmoniformes; Salmonidae.